UGUUGAAUAUAAUCAACGCCAAUUUUGCGUUGAAACAAACCUUGAUUUUCUCAAUUCCACAAAAGUCUUUUGUUGCUUUGAAAAAUCUGCUUUGACGUUGUAACAGUUGGCCUGUUUGGCAAAAUUAUUUAUUUAUUUGUUUCAAUGUUAAAUGUUAUUUAUUUACAUUUUGCAAUAAAAUCCGUGUAGUCAAACUCCGCUUGCACUCUUCGGUAAACAUCUCUGUAGUAUUCACCACGGUAACUCAACCUGUUUUGGACCGAUUGCGUUAAGACCCGGAGAGAGACUCUUGAGAGAGAUGAGCCGAUCUUGAACUACCUCAGUGAGAGAACACCACAGCUAGACCCGAGAAUACAGUUGCUAAAAAGGGAUGGGGAGUUCGCUACUUCUGUCGCACGCAGUUACCCAGAGAGCAUCUCAAGGAAUGACGUAAUUCCGGUCAAACCGCUUGAGCGUCCGUUGCGACCUUCCCUAUUCUGAGGACUCCAGGGCUCGUUCACUUUGUCCCCAGCUAUCAACGAGAGUGGAAGUGCGCGUUUUGUACCGCGAGUUUUUGGCUUUUUGUACAAAAUUUUCCCGUUAGUUAGUCGUGUGUGCGCUAGUGCUAAAUAUUGUCUAAUUUGUGUGCGAACAGGAGAAAAGCAUUCGCCCGUUAGCAACAGCGCUAACCAUCCCGCAGCAGCACCAGCCCAGCAGCAGCGCGAACACACGAGCAGCAGAAGCAGCAGAGAAAAACGGAGACGAAGUUCCCCGCGCACCGCACUUCUCGUUGGCGCCGUACGUCACCAGGCGAAGCACGAGGACAAAGAGCGUGAGCGCACGCUAGGCGGCGAUCCGUCAACACAUCGCCCCGGUGAAGAAGGGAGGGUCCCUGAACCACCACACGAGGACAGCGGAGAUCGUUAGUCCCGGCCGGAGUCAACCCUAAGGCCGGAGCUUCCUGUCCGGUUGCGAACGCUGACAGCCGCGGAACCGGGAAUCGUUUAAACCGGCCCGAGCCACCCCGUAAGGCCGAGUCCCGCAUUCCGAUCAGCUGUUCAUCAGCUGACGGCCACGUGUCGUCCCUGAGCUGAGCAACCAACCACCAGCAGCAGAGAACAACAGCAGCAACAAGAUCAUCAUUCGGUGAGUCCGUUCUUUUUGCACUUGUGGAAGAAGCACGUCCCUAGCUGACGUAGCACGUUUUUGCCGGCCUAGUGCCGAGGCGGCAGACGCGAGUCCGCCCUUGACGGACGCGCCCAAAGUUUGAGGAUCGAACUUUAAUCCCACGCGUUUCUACGCCACACGUGGAUGACCCCUGAAAUCUAAACGCGCGCGCGCGCAAUUUCGAAGCAGAAGCCGAUUUGGAUCAGCUGAUUGCUAGCAAGAAGAUGGAGAGAGCACAAGAGCACGGUUAGGGAAACAGACAGAAUUAAGAUCAAACGCACACACGCAAAGUAGGUAGAAGAAAGAUAUCUUGAAGAUGGCCACCAACACUAUUGUACAAAUAUAAGCAUGCUAAACCCAAAACGAACAAACGAGAACUCACCUUUCUUUCUGGAGUUAUGAAUAAAAACCGCUUUAGUUCUUUUUCGGAUAAAUAAAACGUUCGUUUAAUUGUUGUUUAAAACCUACUUGUGGAGUUUCUUUGGUUGAUUGAAUCUGGAGUUAUGUCACUUUUCGUCGUCUUUUUUCGUUCUGUUUUCUGAAUGACAGAGCUUGGCGUCGAAUGCACUGCCACGAUCGAAGCGCUGCCUGGUGGCAGGUGGCGGCACUGCCGAUGAUGAGCUUUUAGGCAUGGGAAGCAACACACUGGAGUAAGUUGUCUGGGAAAUUUCUUGUGGUUGGCGUGACGGAUUCUCGGUUUCGUUUAGUGGCAGUUCUCGGUGAUCUAGCUGGUUCGAUCCUGAAUCCUCCGAUGAGGAUCAGUUCAAAAUGGGCUCGUCUUUCAAAAGAGUCUCGACCGGGCAAACCAACAUGGCGUGCGAUCUCCCUUUGGGAGUGGCGCAUAAAUCUCACGCUCACCAGAUCGACUAGCAACGGUUGCAUUUUGGCGCCCAACGUAAAAUUCGUUGAAUUUCGUACUGAUUUGGAGUAAAACUAAUUAAUUUUUGGAGUAAAUAAUGUUCUUGUGGAGUUACUGUGUUAAUUUAUUUGCAUGGCAAGCGUGAGAGUUUUUUAGAGAAUUAAUGAUAGAAAGUUACACAUGCUGUGGUCUAACGAAAAAUGAGAUAACUAAACGAAAAAAAAAAAUGAUUUACUGAUGAUAAAUGUUAGGAAAAUUAAUUUGGAGUUCUGAUUAUGUGAAAAAUGAUGAUUUGUUUUGGGAAAUAUUAAUUUUGGA
This is a long non-coding RNA of Culex pipiens pallens (northern house mosquito), 2323 nucleotides long. RefSeq lists it as uncharacterized. The record is from RefSeq and is a predicted model, not a curated record. The transcript is spliced from 3 exons. NCBI's taxonomy places the organism in Eukaryota, Metazoa, Arthropoda, Insecta, Diptera, Culicidae.